GUAACCAGAGUGGUACUUUUACUGCUGCUACUUCUACUUCCGCAUCUGUUUGCGCUCAUCUGAUUGGCACAGUCAAUUUCUGUUGCCGAAACAAAGCAGCUGCCUUCUCGAAGAUGGUAAAUUGGCGAUAGCGGUGGACGAGUUAAUGAAGAAGGAAUUACAGGCUGACGGAAAGAGAGUGAAGAGAAAGCAAAAGCUGCUGCCGCCAUUUGGAUUGAGAAUAAUAAUGAACUCUCCACCGGGUAAGAGAGUCGAAUGGGAGCAUAAAUAGCUUGAGAAAAAGAAGAAAAGGACAGCGGAGGACGCAGAGAUUUGCAGCGGUUAGUUUUCACGCAAGAUUCGCU
This 344-nucleotide unclassified non-coding RNA is filed under the name Hevea brasiliensis (rubber tree). Lineage: Eukaryota; Viridiplantae; Streptophyta; Magnoliopsida; Malpighiales; Euphorbiaceae. The record is from RNAcentral.